CUCUUUUACCGAAACGAAAAUCCAUCGCUUUGGCUGGACUCGCAUCGUCGUUUCAGUAAAAAAAAAAAAAAAAAAAAGAGUAUGAGGCUUUUUACCUUUUUUCACUACCAGUGAUUCUGUCGGUCCAUCUCCGGAAUACCCAGAUCUGAUUUUGGGAUUCUACGACCACACAUCACGUGAAAAAAAGUUUUCUCUACGAGUACAAUAAGGCAGAAUUUCCCAACAGUGCAAGGAAUCUUUUCUG
Molecule: long non-coding RNA, 244 nt
Filed under: Zostera marina
Lineage: Eukaryota; Viridiplantae; Streptophyta; Magnoliopsida; Alismatales; Zosteraceae
Description: long non-coding RNA (ZMAR_LNC002434)
Source: RNAcentral